This 950-nucleotide ribosomal RNA is filed under the name Streptomyces albus. Its description in RNAcentral is "bacterial SSU rRNA". It matches the Rfam family "Bacterial small subunit ribosomal RNA", at positions 34 to 996 of the family's 1533-position model. Lineage: Bacteria; Bacillati; Actinomycetota; Actinomycetes; Kitasatosporales; Streptomycetaceae. The record is from RNAcentral.
CGCUGGCGGCGUGCUUUUCACAUGCAAGUCGAACGAUGAAGCCGCUUCGGUGGUGGAUUAGUGGCGAACGGGUGAGUAACACGUGGGCAAUCUGCCCUGCACUCUGGGACAAGCCCUGGAAACGGGGUCUAAUACCGGAUAUGACACGGGAUCGCAUGGUCUCCGUGUGGAAAGCUCCGGCGGUGCAGGAUGAGCCCGCGGCCUAUCAGCUUGUUGGUGGGGUGAUGGCCUACCAAGGCGACGACGGGUAGCCGGCCUGAGAGGGCGACCGGCCACACUGGGACUGAGACACGGCCCAGACUCCUACGGGAGGCAGCAGUGGGGAAUAUUGCACAAUGGGCGCAAGCCUGAUGCAGCGACGCCGCGUGAGGGAUGACGGCCUUCGGGUUGUAAACCUCUUUCAGCAGGGAAGAAGCGCGAGUGACGGUACCUGCAGAAGAAGCACCGGCUAACUACGUGCCAGCAGCCGCGGUAAUACGUAGGGUGCGAGCGUUGUCCGGAAUUAUUGGGCGUAAAGAGCUCGUAGGCGGCUUGUCGCGUCGGAUGUGAAAGCCCGGGGCUUAACCCCGGGUCUGCAUUCGAUACGGGCAGGCUAGAGUUCGGCAGGGGAGAUUGGAAUUCCUGGUGUAGCGGUGAAAUGCGCAGAUAUCAGGAGGAACACCGGUGGCGAAGGCGGAUCUCUGGGCCGAUACUGACGCUGAGGAGCGAAAGCGUGGGGAGCGAACAGGAUUAGAUACCCUGGUAGUCCACGCCGUAAACGUUGGGCACUAGGUGUGGGCGGCAUUCCACGUCGUCCGUGCCGCAGCUAACGCAUUAAGUGCCCCGCCUGGGGAGUACGGCCGCAAGGCUAAAACUCAAGGAAUUGACGGGGGGCCCGCACAAGCGGCGGAGCAUGUGGCUUACUUCGACGCAACGCGAAGAACCUUACCAAGGCUUGACAUACACCGGCG